RNAcentral lists this small nuclear RNA (23 nucleotides) under Arabidopsis thaliana (thale cress). Its description in RNAcentral is "snRNA_11330". Lineage: Eukaryota; Viridiplantae; Streptophyta; Magnoliopsida; Brassicales; Brassicaceae. The record is from RNAcentral.
GAUUCUGGUCUAUUAAAACAGAA